Molecule: ribosomal RNA, 410 nt
Filed under: Odontella aurita
Lineage: Eukaryota; Bacillariophyta; Thalassiosirophyceae; Eupodiscales; Odontellaceae
Description: partial Bacterial small subunit ribosomal RNA
Rfam family: Bacterial small subunit ribosomal RNA
Source: RNAcentral
UGGGAUUCAGAUGGGCAUGCGUGACAUUAGUUAGUUGGUGAGGUAACGGCUCACCAAGGCGACGACGGGUAGCCGGCCUGAGAGGGUGACCGGCCACACUGGGACUGAGACACGGCCCAGACUCCUACGGGAGGCAGCAGUGGGGAAUAUUGCACAAUGGGGGAAACCCUGAUGCAGCCAUGCCGCGUGUGUGAAGAAGGCCUUCGGGUUGUAAAGCACUUUCAGCGAGGAGGAAAGGGAUGUAGUUAAUAACUGCAUUCUGUGACGUUACUCGCAGAAGAAGCACCGGCUAACUUCGUGCCAGCAGCCGCGGUAAUACGAGGGGUGCAAGCGUUAAUCGGAAUUACUGGGCGUAAAGCGCACGCAGGCGGUUUGUUAAGCUAGAUGUGAAAGCCCCGGGCUCAACCUGG